CCCUUAGAUGUUCUGGGCCGCACGCGCGCUACACUGAUGCAUUCAACGAGCCUAUCCUUGACCGACAGGUCCGGGUAAUCUUUGAAUCUGCAUCGUUACGGGGAUAGAUUAUUGCAAUUAUUAAUCUUCAACGAGGAAUGCCUAGUAGGCGCAAGUCAUCAGCUUGCGUCGAUUACGUCCCUGCCCUUUGUACACACCGCCCGUCGCUCCUACCGAUUGGGUGUGCUGGUGAAAUGUUCGGAUCGGCCGUUUGUCGCGGUUUCCGCGUCAUGUGGCUGAGAAGUUCAUUAAACCCUCCCACCUAGAGGAAGGAGAAGUCGUAACA
RNAcentral lists this ribosomal RNA (325 nucleotides) under uncultured eukaryote. RNAcentral's name for it is "partial 18S ribosomal RNA". It matches the Rfam family "Eukaryotic small subunit ribosomal RNA", at positions 1470 to 1796 of the family's 1831-position model. The record is from RNAcentral.